Molecule: long non-coding RNA, 1996 nt
Filed under: Equus caballus (horse)
Lineage: Eukaryota; Metazoa; Chordata; Mammalia; Perissodactyla; Equidae
Description: lncRNA (ENSECAG00000057148.1)
Source: RNAcentral
GGACAUUAAUAAUUUUUGUCACUAAUUAAUUCCGCUUAUAAAUUCUUUAAAUUUCUCCUUCUUAAUGACACUUUAGUGCCGGUGUGGAGGAGAGGAGGUGACGUGAGAUUUGUGCAGGCAUCACUGAUGUGCUCUUUGGAAGUUUGUCUUUGAGAGUGGUGGUUACUUACACCAUGGGCAGUAACACUUUCGGAUUGAAUAUUUCCAACAAAACUUUACAGAAGACCGUACCACACCGCUUUAUAUUUACUAUUUCAGUCACUUGCUAUUUAUUUAUUCAUGAGGGCCCAUGAGAGGAGAGAGAGAGUGUUAUUCGCUGGCAGUUUGCAACGAGGACAGGAUGUUUUCUUGUGAAAAUAAUGUCCCUCCUCACCUUUUGUACCUGUGUGCUUCAGUCAGUAAGCCUGUGUUGGCUGCUGGGUAUACAGGGCCGUGUGCCGGGCAGUGUGGGGAAUGUCACGAUGCCUGACUCAGCCAUCGUGCUGCGGGUUCUCACGGUCUGGAGAGGCACAUCAGCCCACACCAGGGAAAGAAGCCACAAAUUAUGGGCAGAUUGCCCAGCCCCAUCAUUUAUUUGCUCUGUGACCCUGGGAAAGUAGGCUGGGCUUCUCUGCGCCUCAAUUGCCACAUCUGUAGAAUGAUACCUGCCCUAUGAUGUUGUGAAGUUUAAAUAAAGUAAUAAAGAUAAGGCCCAUGGUGAGCACUCAGUCAACAUCAGCUGGUGCUGGAAUUAAGGGGUCAAGAGUGGGGUUUGUAUCCAGGUCAAACUGGAACCUGAAAAGAUCCACUCAACCCAAGAGGACAAACUAAAACCUGUGAAGACAUAGUGGAAGCUACAUCUGCCUCUUCCUGCCUCCAACCUGGAGAAGGAGCCAGCAUCCUUUGCCAUGGCGGUGCACAUGCACCUGGCCCAGGCUAUGGAGACGCUGGAAGAGGAGAUCUUGUGGGAGCUAGAGUUGCUGCGGGCCCCACUGCUGUCCCACACCAACAAGGUGUGCCAGAGGACCAGUGCCAAUAUACGCCAGUGACACUAGCACCUGGUCUUACACUAGACUUCAGAACACCAUGGCUGCUGCUUCACUUCCACCUCCCACAUCCUGCUCCAACUUUUCUUCUGGCCAACCUUAACUCAGAGCCACACAGGGAAGACAAUCCUAGGAAACUGUGUUUCUGGCCUAGCGAAGUUGACACAGUCACUACAAGUGUGAAACCUUAGGGUAGAAUGUAACUGGUUGCUCUUGGAAAGAAGGAUGGCAUACCACAGCAAAGACACAUCGGGGUCAUUCUGUGCAUCAGUUAUAGGCAAGGACUUCCCAGAGUUUGGUGCUCAGAUUCAAUAAAAGCGGUGUCCAGGAAGGACUCAUUUACACAGCCACAUUCACUCCACCAAUCCUGCUGAAUGUCUUUGUACACGAUGGUCAAUGGAGCAGAAGAGGAAGGCACAGUAAGCAUGGAGCUACCGGCAGCAUUUUGGAAAUCUUUCGGUCACUGUGAAUUUUGGUCACUGACCUCGGACUUCUGAAUUUGGCCAUCCAACAUUGAAGCUUCCACCCAGCUUUUUAACGAUGAUAUCCAUAGGGCCAUUUGAACUGUUCUCACAGAGAAGCGCAGCGAACUCACUGCCGAGCAGAGGAGGGCGAGAAGAAAGAGGAACCUGAUUUUUAUUAGAAAGGCGGCGGCCGGCUCCAUGGCUUAGCGCUACCCGCCAGUACCUAACCCGGGCGCCGAGGCGACCCCGCGCCAGCGCGGCCCGGCGGGCGGGCGACGAGAGGCUCUCCGGCGCCCUCUGCUGGGCAGUCGGCUCCACGCCGCCUCCGCCCGUGGGUCCUCCAGGCAGAGCGCGGGACUCAUCCCACCCGCGCUUUCCAUAUUUGCUUCCCGCCGUUCAGGGGGUGUUGCGAGACGGCGAGGUGAUGUGAAGCCUGAGGGGCGAUGUGGGUUGAAGUGGAGUUUGCGGGGGGCUGCGGUGGGAGGCGUGUGGAGUCUGGGAAGUAAC